AUCCCUUCGGGGACAUUCAAUAAAAUUGAAAUAAUACAUAGAAGAUUAGCAUGGCUCCUGCGCAAGAAUGACAUGCAUAAAUCGAGAAAUGGUCCAAAUUUCU
Molecule: small nuclear RNA, 103 nt
Organism: Pyrus x bretschneideri (Chinese white pear)
Lineage: Eukaryota; Viridiplantae; Streptophyta; Magnoliopsida; Rosales; Rosaceae
Source: RefSeq, a predicted model, not a curated record